This 398-nucleotide ribosomal RNA is filed under the name uncultured bacterium. Its description in RNAcentral is "bacterial SSU rRNA". It matches the Rfam family "Bacterial small subunit ribosomal RNA", at positions 53 to 496 of the family's 1533-position model. The record is from RNAcentral.
ACAUGCAAGUCGAACGAAGUAGCAAUACUUAGUGGCAGACGGGUGAGUAACAUGUAGGUAUCUGCCCUUUGGCCUGGAAUAACACGAGGAAACUUGUGCUAAUACCGGAUAAGUCUUUACGGAGAAAGCUUUAUGCACCAUUGGAUGAGCCUGCACUUGAUUAGUUUGUUGGUGGGGUAAUGGCCUACCAAGACUGUGAUCAAUAGCUGAUUUGAGAGGAUGAUCAGCCACAUUGGGACUGAGACACGGCCCAAACUCCUACGGGAGGCAGCAGUGGGGAAUAUUGUACAAUGGACGCAAGUCUGAUACAGCAAUGCCGCGUGAGUGAAGAAGGCCUUAGGGUUGUAAAACUCUUUCGCUAGGGAAGAUAAUGACGGUACCUAGUAAAGAAGUCCCGG